This 73-nucleotide transfer RNA is filed under the name Megacopta lobata. RNAcentral describes it as "tRNA-Met". The record is from RNAcentral. Lineage: Eukaryota; Metazoa; Arthropoda; Insecta; Hemiptera; Plataspidae.
AGCAAGGUAAGCUAAACAUCUAAGCUAAUAGGUUCAUACCCUGUAAAUAGAAGUAAUAACCUUCUCCUUUCUA